GCGGUUCUUAUAGCAGGAAUAGUCAAAUUUCCUCAGCUUCGCCACUGAUAUUUCAAGCGCUAUAACAUUAUAUAUAUAUGCCAUACGAUUUAUCCCCAGUUUUAUAUUUUGGCUUCUUUAGAUAUAUUAGUCGUUAUAUGUACAGUAUAUGAGUAUAAAUAUGGAGAAUGCGUUCUAUUAGAAUGACCUACAGUAGAAUGCUUAAAAAUUAGGCAUUAUACUUACAUUCUACACCCAAACCCAAUAGUGUAUUGCCAACAUAAUC
Molecule: non-coding RNA, 265 nt
Organism: Paramuricea clavata
Lineage: Eukaryota; Metazoa; Cnidaria; Anthozoa; Malacalcyonacea; Plexauridae
Source: the annotation of a GenBank genome assembly